RNAcentral lists this long non-coding RNA (2156 nucleotides) under Aotus nancymaae (Ma's night monkey). RNAcentral's name for it is "lncRNA (ENSANAG00000039577.1)". The stretch from base 306 to 452 matches the Rfam family "Metazoan signal recognition particle RNA". The record is from RNAcentral. Lineage: Eukaryota; Metazoa; Chordata; Mammalia; Primates; Aotidae.
AAAGGAUUACAGCUAAAGUUGAGUAGCUGGGAUUAUAGGCACCCACCACCAUGUCUGGCUAAUUUUUGUAUUUUUAUUAGAGACAGGGUUUCACCAUAUUGGCCAAGCUGGUCUCGAACUCCUGACCUCAGGUGAUCUGCCCACCUCGGCCUCCCAAAGUGCUGAGAUUACAGGCAUGAGCUGCCACAGCCAGCAAUCCCAGUGCCUUGGGAUGCCAAGGCAUGAGAAUUCUUUGAGGCCAGGAGUUCAAGACAAGACUGGGCAACACAGUGAGACACCAUAUCUACAAAAAAUAUUUUAAAUUGGCCGGGCAUGGUGGUGCACGCCUGUAGUCCCAGCUACUAGGGAGGCUGAGGUGGGAGGAUCACUUGAGUCCAGGAGGUCAAGGCUGCAGUGAGCUAUGAUUACACCCUGCACUCCAGCCUGGGUGACAGAGCGAGACCCUGUCUCUAAAGAAGACCACCUGGGCAUGGGUCCAGAACCCACCCCAGUGGAUCCCAGAUUCCCCGCAGAGCUCUGUCUACCAUCCUAGGCAGCAGCUCUUGAGCCAGACGAAUUACUGCUGGAAAUUGAAUGGCUUUCUUUGCAAUGACGUUUUUAAAGACCCAUUCUUUUUAUGGGGUCUGAUUAUUAAAGUAACACACACCCAGCUCUAACCAUUUUAAACUAUUAAGCUAUAUUGCGUGCAAAGUAGCCAGAGAAAAUUGCAUAUAAUUCCAACGCUCUUCACUUCCCAGAAAACCAGUGUGUAGAUGUAUUCCUGUCUUGUUCUGCUCUGCCUUUUAUGCCAACGGGUUGCUUCAGAAGGUCCCGGUUGAAGCAGUUAAGAGUAUUCGUGGCCGUCUGCCUCACGCUCUGUUGCAGCUGCUUGGCUCUGCCACUGCAGCUCGAGAGCCUUGCAAAGUCUUGUGAGCUCACCGAAGCGUCAGAAGAAAACCCCUGAUUUCUUACCCUGCCUCUCCUACCUCUAAAGACACCAGAUUAUGCUUUGGGAGAAAAAAAUCCAACUGGCCAAAGAGAUGCGCUCCUCCGUGGAUUCCGAGAUCGGCCAGCCGGAGAUCCAGGCCAUGAAGGGCGAGAUCCACAGGAUGAAGGUCAAGCUCGGGCAGCUGCUGAAGCAGCAGGAGAAGAUGAUCUGUGCCAUGGAGAUGGCGGUCGCCCGCAGAGAGAGCGUUACCACCCAGGCUGAGGGGCAGCUCAAGACGGACAGGAAGGCGCUCACCCACACCAAAUUCCACCAUAAGCAGCUCGAGCUGCGCCGGAAAAUCAGAGACAUCCGCAAGGCCACUGAGGAGUCCACCAAAACCAUCCUGGAACUGGAAGAAACUGAGAAAAACGUCCGCAACUCCCUCCAAGAGAGGAAGGAAGAGCUGUCGGUGCUGCAGGCAGACUUGGACACACGUGAAGCUGAACUCACCCGGCUCAGGGACCUCAAACAACAGGUGAACACGUCCCGGGAGGUCCCUGGGGGUAAAGGCACCUGGCCGUGAAUGUGCCACUCGUACAGAGGUCCCGCGUGCCCUAGGCUAUGGCCUCCCCUGAUCCCACGCCAGUAAUAGCACCACCAGCUGCUCACAUGUUUGUGGCUUUGUGAUUUGUUCGAUCAAUCGGUAUUGAUGGAGUAUCUGUUAUGGGGUGGGCUCCUGUUCAGGGUGCGAGGGCUGCAAAACAGAACAUGAAAGACAAACAUCCCCGCCCUACUAGAGGCUCCGUCCUGGGGCAGGAGACCAGGUGAUUAGCAAAAUAAUUUUAAAAGAUACAGUGUGUUUUAGCUGGGCAUGGUGGCACGCACCUGUGCCAUGGUGGCACGCAGCUACUCAGGAGUCUGAGGUGAGAGGAUCCCUUGAGCCCAGGAGGUCAAGGCUUCAGUGAGCCAAGAUUGCACCACUGCACUCCAGCCUAGACGACAGAGUGAGAUCCUGUCUCAAAAAAGAAAAGAAAAGAAAUGAUGUGUUAGGUGGUAGUAAAUGCUCUGGAGGAAAAUAAACCAGAGAAAGAAGCGUCAGGGGCAUCAGGUGAACCGAGGGCUUGGGAGUUUGAGUUCAGGUGAUCCGGGAAGGCCUUGUGGAGUCCAGAGCUGAAGAAGCGGACACCCACAAAGCCAACCCAGGCAGACGGACAGCCCAACAAAGGCAGGAGCCUGAAACUGUGCAAGG